GUGGUAACCUGUGAAAACCAUUUCCGCAGGUUGAGUCGCCAUUCUUUGCGUCCUUUGUACGUUUAGAAGUUGUCUCCGCUAGACAGCAAGUAGUUGUUUCGGGAUUACACAAAUUUACAGACUGUCAAACAAGCUCGAAUCUUUUCCUACAAAAGCUGAAUAAUAUUACGAACAAAUAGCUACAAUAGGAUCCAGUUAAAGCUUCACGGACGAUAAUCUGAGCGGGAAUACAUUGGUGGUGUCCCUCAUCAAAAGCUAAAAUGAUCACCAGGCGAAGAGGUCGUUCAGACAUCACCGAUGUGGAGGUGCACUCUUCAACUUGUCCUUUUGAUGUUGAAGUCACUGACUUUGUUGAAAUGAUAGAAAAUGUUAAAACGAGUCCCUCUUUAGAAAUUAGGUCAGAGAAUGGGGAUAGUAAAGUUGGAUUAGAGCUGGAUGAUUUAUUUGGAAUCGACGAGUUAAACUGGACAUUUGAGAAGGAUGCAGUCUCCCCUCUUUUCGACAUUGGAUUGACCGAAAUUGGUGUGGGUGACACAACAGAUCAAGAUUUUUGGAUUGGCACGUCCAGGACCCCAUCGCCCGAAGGAGUGUCUGCUGUUCAGAAAAGGAAGGGGAGAGAUGACCCGUCUGGGCACAUGAUCAACAAAAACGCUGUCGCUGCGCGAAUUAAUCGUCUGAAAAAGAAGGAAUACAUGAACGGGCUGGAAAAUAAAGUUGGGUCUCUGUCGUCAGAAAACCGCAUACUCAAACAGGAAAACGUCCAAUUGAAUAAGAGGGUAGAAGAGUUGGAAGAUGAGACGAGGGGUCCAACAAGAAUGACGACCACGAUUAUGCCUUGCCGCGGAAACGUGUGAAGGUGGAGGAAAAGGAGACUUCUGGUGGCGUCUGUCUGCACGUGGACAAGAACAACGUCUCAGUGGAGUUCUGCACUAAGUGUGCAGAGAGUGCAAGCGCAUCACUCAAAAUGUAGGGUCAAGUACUUUUAUCUGUUUUCAGAUGUUGAGACUGAACCUGAUUAACUUCAGUGUAAUGAACGUCAGGGGAAUCUAUGAACACUGUUAAAACUAUUUGAGAUCAUUACUUAAUUAAGAAAUGUUGAAUGAUUGAGCAUGUGUAAAAAAUCUUACCAAUGAUUUAAGUACACGUUACUCGUUAAACCUUGUUGCCAGUUUUCUUCUAGGUGAUGAUUGUUCUACCAUGCUGGAUGAAUGGGUUACAGAACGUCCCUGUCUGCUUGGCGCCAUGUGGAUUCUGCUGUUCGGGAAGCUGAAGAGGCGGGACCCGCUGCUGCCAACUUGGCCUGGUAUUUUUUUAAAGGUAGUAUAACACAGGGUGUAAGUGACUACAUUCAACCAGUAUCCCAUAACACCUUCUUUGUAAAAAGUAGUGAAUUUAGAAUAUAUUGUGGAUGACAAGUGUUCCACUACCUAUUACAUUGACAAUAUUAGAGGUCCUAUAACGGUUUGUUCACAAGUUUAACCUGACUUGUUGACACAUUGGUAUGUAACCCAGUUGUUUAAAAAAAAAACUAGUCAAACUAUCUUGUUAUCGAUGUGAUCCUGAUAGAAAUGGACAUCACCAAUUUUGUAUAAAGUGACAAUCUUAAAGAAUGUUAUGUAAAGUACAAAGAUGUUGUGGCAACUUUUUUUUUUUUAAAUGAGAGAACAAUGUUUCAGAAACAUGGAUAUGAUUGAAAAUAAAUCUUAUUUUGAUUA
Molecule: RNA transcript, 1715 nt
Organism: Oncorhynchus gorbuscha (pink salmon)
Lineage: Eukaryota; Metazoa; Chordata; Actinopteri; Salmoniformes; Salmonidae
Exons: 4
Source: RefSeq, a predicted model, not a curated record